UACGGAGGGUGCGAGCGUUAAUCGGAAUCACUGGGCGUAAAGGGCACGCAGGCGGGCUUUUAAGUGAGAUGUGAAAUCCCCGUGCUUAACCUGGGAAUAGCAUUUGAGACUGGGAGUCUUGAGUAGUGUAGGGAGGGGUAGAAUUCCACGUGUAGCGGUGAAAUGCGUAGAGAUGUGGAGGAAUACCGAAGGCGAAGGCAGCCCCUUGGGCAUGUACUGACGCUCAGGUGCGAAAGCGUGGGGAGCAAACAGG
This 253-nucleotide ribosomal RNA is filed under the name uncultured bacterium. Its description in RNAcentral is "partial 16S ribosomal RNA". It matches the Rfam family "Bacterial small subunit ribosomal RNA", at positions 524 to 776 of the family's 1533-position model. The record is from RNAcentral.